AGAGUUUGAUCCUGGCUCAGAACGAACGCUGGUAGCGUGGAUUAGGCAUGCAAGUCGAACGGGAUCCGGAAGGCAGCAAUGUCGGCCGGUGAGAGUGGCGGAAGGGCGAGGAACACGUGGGCAACCUGUCCAGGAGGUGGGGAAAACCUCGGGAAACUGAGGCUAAUACCGAAUGCGGCGCGGAAGGGCAUCCUUCCAGCGCCAAAGGGGGCGAAAGCUCCCCCUCCACGAGGGGCCCGCGCACCAUCGGCUAGUUGGCGGGGUAACGGCCCACCAAGGCUCACGGUUAGCUGGUCUGAGAGGAUGGCCAGCCGCACUGGGACUGAGAUACUGCCCAGACUCCUACGGGAGGCUGCAGUCGAGGAUCAUUCGCAAUGGGCGAAAGCCUGACGAUGCGACGCUGCGUGGAGGAUGAAGGCCUUCGGGUUGUAAACUCCUGUCAUGAGGGAAAAGGAGACCCUACCUAACACGUAGGGGAUUUGAUGGUACCUCAAGAGGAAGGGACGGCUAACUCUGUGCCAGCAGCCGCGGUAAUACAGAGGUCCCGAGCGUUGUUCGGAUUUACUGGGCGUAAAGGGCGCGUAGGCGGCGGAACGUGUCGGAUGUGAAAUCUCCGGGCUCAACCCGGAAAGUGCGUCCGAAACUGUUCCGCUGGAGUCCGGGAGAGGUGGCCGGAAUGCAGGGUGUAGCGGUGAAAUGCGUUGAUAUCCUGCAGAACACCGGAGGCGAAGGCGGGCCACUGGAACGGUACUGACGCUGAGGCGCGAAAGUCGGGGGAGCAAACAGGAUUAGAUACCCUGGUAGUCCCGACCCUAAACGGUGCUCACUCGGGGUGGGGGGAUUCAACCCCCCCCCGUCCCCAAGCGAACGCGUUAAGUGAGCCGCCUGGGGAGUACGGCCGCAAGGCUAAAACUCAAAGAAAUUGACGGGGGCCCGCACAAGCAGAGGAGCAUGUGGCUUAAUUCGAUGCAACGCGAAGAACCUUACCUGGGCUUGACAUCCCCGGCGAUGCCCCUGGAAACAGGGGCGGAGGCUAUCCGGGUGACAGGUGCUGCAUGGCUGUCGUCAGUUCGUGCCGUGAGGUGUUUGGUUAAGUCCACCAACGAACGCAACCCCUUUGGACAGUUGCCAGCGGGUGAUGCCGGGAACCCUGUCCACACUGCCCGUUCACGCGGGAGGAAGGUGGGGAUGACGUCAAGUCAGUACGGCCCUUACGCCCAGGGCUGCACGCGUGCUACAAUGGCCGGUACAGAGGGACGCCAAGCCGCGAGGCGGAGCGAACCCCCCAGAGCCGGCCCCAGUUCGGAUCGGGGUCUGCAACCCGACCCCGUGAAGUCGGAUUUGCUAGUAACGGCGCAUCAGCUACGGCGCCGUGAAUGCGUUCCCGGGCCUUGUACACACCGCCCGUCACAUCAUGAAAGCCGUCUGCACCCGAAGUCCGGCUCUAAGUCGGCCUAAGGUGUGGGUGGUGAUUGGGAUGAAGUCGUAACAAGGUAACC
Molecule: ribosomal RNA, 1499 nt
Filed under: uncultured rumen bacterium
Lineage: Bacteria
Description: bacterial SSU rRNA
Rfam family: Bacterial small subunit ribosomal RNA
Source: RNAcentral